This 468-nucleotide ribosomal RNA is filed under the name uncultured bacterium. RNAcentral's name for it is "partial 16S ribosomal RNA". It matches the Rfam family "Bacterial small subunit ribosomal RNA", at positions 28 to 507 of the family's 1533-position model. The record is from RNAcentral.
GACGAACGCUGGCGGCGUGCUUAACACAUGCAAGUCGAACGGAAAGGCCCGGCGUUUGUGGGGUUCUCGAGUGGCGAACAGGUGAGUAACACGCGAGUAACCUGCCCUUGACUGUGGGAUAACUUCUGGAAACUGGGGCUAAUAUCGCGGAGGAUCUCCUGCUGCGUGGGGGUGGUUGGAGAAUGUCGGCGGUUGGGGCUGGUCUCGCGGCUUAUGAGCUUGUUUGGGGGGUAGUGGCUUCCGAAGGCUUUGACGGGUAGCCGGCCUGAGAGGGUGACCGGCCACAUUGGGACUGAGGUACGGCCCAGAAUCCUACGGGACGCAGCAGUGGGGAAUAUUGCACAAUGGGCGGAAGCCUGAUGUAGCAACCCCGCGUGCGUGAUGACGGCUUUCGAGUUGUAAACAGCUUUCGAAUGUGACGAAGAGUGAGUGACGGUAAUGGGUCAAGAAGCCCCGGCUAACUACGUG